GCCGGGGUGCCCGAGCGGUCUAAGGGGCCGGCCUGGAGAGCCGGUGGGUCAUGGCGGCCCGCGCGGGUUCAAAUCCCGCCCCCGGCGCCA
This 90-nucleotide transfer RNA is filed under the name Thermoprotei archaeon. Its description in RNAcentral is "tRNA-Ser". It matches the Rfam family "tRNA". From Rfam's summary of the family: Transfer RNA (tRNA) molecules are approximately 80 nucleotides in length. The record is from RNAcentral. Lineage: Archaea; Thermoproteati; Thermoproteota; Thermoprotei.